Molecule: ribosomal RNA, 374 nt
Filed under: uncultured bacterium
Lineage: Bacteria
Description: bacterial SSU rRNA
Rfam family: Bacterial small subunit ribosomal RNA
Source: RNAcentral
CAUGCCGCGUGCAGGAAGACGGCCUUAUGGGUUGUAAACUGCUUUUUUACGGGAGAAAUAAGGGUUACGAGUAAUCCCAUGAGAGUACCGUAUGAAUAAGGAUCGGCUAACUCCAUGCCAGCGGCCGCGGUAAUACGGAGGAUCCGAGCGUUAUCCGGAAUUAUUGGGUUUAAAGGGUGCGUAGGCGGACAUUUAAGUCAACGGUGAAAUUUUGCACCUCAACUGUAACAUUGCCGUUGAUACUGAAUGGCUAGAAUUUGGUUGCAGUGGGCGGAAUGUGAGUUGUAGCGGUGAAAUGCAUAUGAUAUCACACUGGAACACCAAUUGCGAAGGCAACGCACUAACUCAUUACUGACGCUGANGCACGAAAGCGA